AUUAGAUACCCGUGUAGUCCCAGCCGUAAACAAUGUGCGUUAGGUGUGUCGGUAACCACGUGUUACUGAUGCGCCGAGGAGAAAUCGUGAAACGCACCACCUGGGAAGUACGGUCGCAAGGCUGAAACUUAAAGGAAUUGGCGGGGGAGCACCACAACAGGUGGAGCCUGCGGUUUAAUUGGAUUCAACGCCGGACAUCUCACCGGAUAAGACAGCUGAAUGAUUGUCAAUCUGAAGGUUUUACAUGACUAGCUGAGAGGAGGUGCAUGGC
Molecule: ribosomal RNA, 271 nt
Filed under: uncultured archaeon
Lineage: Archaea
Description: partial 16S ribosomal RNA
Rfam family: Archaeal small subunit ribosomal RNA
Source: RNAcentral